GAUGAAAACGCAGCGAAAUGCGAUAAGUAAUGUGAAUUGCAGAAUUCAGUGAAUCAUCGAAUCUUUGAACGCACAUUGCGCCCCUUGGUAUUCCGAGGGGCAUGCCUGUUCGAGCGUCAUUAUAACCCCUCAAGCUCAGCUUGGUGUUGGGGCCUGCUGCACUGGCAGCCCUUAAAAUCAGUGGCGGCGCCAUCUGGCUCUAAGCGUAGUAAUUCUUCUCGCUAUGGAGUCCUGGUGGAUGCUUGCCAUCAACCCCCAAUUUUUCUAUGGUUGACCUCGGAUCAGGUAGGGAUACCCGCUGAACUUAAGCAUAUCAAUAAGCGGAGGA
This 328-nucleotide unclassified non-coding RNA is filed under the name soil metagenome. Its description in RNAcentral is "partial contains 5.8S ribosomal RNA, internal transcribed spacer 2, and large subunit ribosomal RNA". The stretch from base 1 to 119 matches the Rfam family "5.8S ribosomal RNA", at positions 35 to 154 of the family's 154-position model. The record is from RNAcentral.